CCGAAACCCGGUGAUCUAGCCAUGGGCAGGUUGAAGGUUGGGUAACACUAACUGGAGGACCGAACCGACUAAUGUUGAAAAAUUAGCGGAUGACCUGUGGCUGGGGGUGAAAGGCCAAUCAAACCGGGAGAUAGCUGGUUCUCCCCGAAAGCUAUUUAGGUAGCGCCUCGUGAAUUCAUCUCCGGGGGUAGAGCACUGUUUCGGCUAGGGGGCCAUCCCGGCUUACCAACCCGAUGCAAACUGCGAAUACCGGAGAAUGUUAUCACGGGAGACACACGGCGGGUGCUAACGUCCGUCGUGAAGAGGGAAACAACCCAGACCGCCAGCUAAGGUCCCAAAGUCAUGGUUAAGUGGGAAACGAUGUGGGAAGGCCCAGACAGCCAGGAUGUUGGCUUAGAAGCAGCCAUCAUUUAAAGAAAGCGUAAUAGCUCACUGGUCGAGUCGGCCUGCGCGGAAGAUGUAACGGGGCUAAACCAUGCACCGAAGCUGCGGCAGCGACACUGUGUGUUGUUGGGUAGGGGAGCGUUCUGUAAGCCUGUGAAGGUGUGUCGUGAGGCAUGCUGGAGGUAUCAGAAGUGCGAAUGCUGACAUAAGUAACGAUAAAGCGGGUGAAAAGCCCGCUCGCCGGAAGACCAAGGGUUCCUGUCCAACGUUAAUCGGGGCAGGGUGAGUCGACCCCUAAGGCGAGGCCGAAAGGCGUAGUCGAUGGGAAACGGGUUAAUAUUCCCGUACUUGGUGUUACUGCGAAGGGGGGACGGAGAAGGCUAUGUUGGCCGGGCGACGGUUGUCCCGGUUUAAGCGUGUAGGUGUGUGUUCCAGGUAAAUCCGGUUCACUUUAACACUGAGGCGUGACGACGAGGCACUACGGUGCUGAAGCAACAAAUGCCCUGCUUCCAGGAAAAGCCUCUAAGCAUCAGGUAACAUCAAAUCGUACCCCAAACCGACACAGGUGGUCAGGUAGAGAAUACCAAGGCGCUUGAGAGAACUCGGGUGAAGGAACUAGGCAAAAUGGUGCCGUAACUUCGGGAGAAGGCACGCUGACACGUAGGUGAAGUGAUUUACUCAUGGAGCUGAAGUCAGUCGAAGAUACCAGCUGGCUGCAACUGUUUAUUAAAAACACAGCACUGUGCAAACACGAAAGUGGACGUAUACGGUGUGACGCCUGCCCGGUGCCGGAAGGUUAAUUGAUGGGGUCAGCGCAAGCGAAGCUCCUGAUCGAAGCCCCGGUAAACGGCGGCCGUAACUAUAACGGUCCUAAGGUAGCGAAAUUCCUUGUCGGGUAAGUUCCGACCUGCACGAAUGGCGUAAUGAUGGCCAGGCUGUCUCCACCCGAGACUCAGUGAAAUUGAACUCGCUGUGAAGAUGCAGUGUACCCGCGGCAAGACGGAAAGACCCCGUGAACCUUUACUAUAGCUUGACACUGAACAUUGAGCCUUGAUGUGUAGGAUAGGUGGGAGGCUUUGAAGUGUGGACGCCAGUCUGCAUGGAGCCGACCUUGAAAUACCACCCUUUAAUGUUUGAUGUUCUAACGUGGACCCGUUACCCGGGUUGCGGACAGUGUCUGGUGGGUAGUUUGACUGGGGCGGUCUCCUCCUAAAGAGUAACGGAGGAGCACGAAGGUUGGCUAAUCCUGGUCGGACAUCAGGAGGUUAGUGCAAUGGCAUAAGCCAGCUUGACUGCGAGCGUGACGGCGCGAGCAGGUGCGAAAGCAGGUCAUAGUGAUCCGGUGGUUCUGAAUGGAAGGGCCAUCGCUCAACGGAUAAAAGGUACUCCGGGGAUAACAGGCUGAUACCGCCCAAGAGUUCAUAUCGACGGCGGUGUUUGGCACCUCGAUGUCGGCUCAUCACAUCCUGGGGCUGAAGUAGGUCCCAAGGGUAUGGCUGUUCGCCAUUUAAAGUGGUACGCGAGCUGGGUUUAGAACGUCGUGAGACAGUUCGGUCCCUAUCUGCCGUGGGCGCUGGAGAACUGAGGGGGGCUGCUCCUAGUACGAGAGGACCGGAGUGGACGCAUCACUGGUGUUCGGGUUGUCAUGCCAAUGGCACUGCCCGGUAGCUAAAUGCGGAAGAGAUAAGUGCUGAAAGCAUCUAAGCACGAAACUUGCCCCGA
RNAcentral lists this ribosomal RNA (2106 nucleotides) under Salmonella enterica subsp. enterica serovar Enteritidis. RNAcentral describes it as "partial 23S ribosomal RNA". It matches the Rfam family "Bacterial large subunit ribosomal RNA", at positions 715 to 2802 of the family's 2925-position model. Lineage: Bacteria; Pseudomonadati; Pseudomonadota; Gammaproteobacteria; Enterobacterales; Enterobacteriaceae. The record is from RNAcentral.